Molecule: ribosomal RNA, 497 nt
Filed under: uncultured bacterium
Lineage: Bacteria
Description: partial 16S ribosomal RNA
Rfam family: Bacterial small subunit ribosomal RNA
Source: RNAcentral
GAUGAACGCUGGCGGCGUGCCUAAUACAUGCAAGUCGAGCGAACAGACGAGGAGCUUGCUCCUCUGACGUUAGCGACGGACGGGUGAGUAACACGUGGAUAACCUACCUCUAAGACUUGGAUAACUUCGGGAAACCGGAGCUAAUACCGGAUAAUAUAUUGAACCGCAUGGUUCAAUAGUGAAAGACGGGUUUUCUGUCACUUAUAGAUGGAUCCGCGCGGCAUUAGCUUGUUGGUAAGGUAACGGCUUACCAAGGCAACGAUGCGUAGCCGACCUGAGAGGGUGAUAGGCCACAUGGGAACGGAGCCAGCGUCAAGAGUACUGCGGGAGGCAGCAGAAGGGAACGGGACGCAAUGGUCGAAAGCCUUACGGAGCAACCGCGAGCGUGUGAUGACGACCUCGGGAGAGGAAAACCCUGUUAUGAGUGAAAAACAAAUGUGAAAGUAAAUAAGCACGUCGUGACGGUACCUAAUCAGAAAGCCCCGGCUAACUACGUG